AUGAUGUCUACUGGUCGACAGAGAGAUCGUUCAGAAAAGACGUGAUUAACCUGGGUUGCAUGCUCUUCGUGAAAUGAUGGAUUUGUUUGCACACGGCCAAUUUAUAAAUGUCAUAACAGACGAGGAUAUGGCAUUCAGGAUGAAGCAAAACGUGGGAAACCUGGCCAUUAAACCCGAGACUUUGAGGAAUCAACAGUUGUUAUGACACCAAGAAGACAAUACAACAAGGAUGAUCUUCGAGCUCUUCCAAAUUGAAAGAAGAACAAAGAGCUGAGCAGACGCCAGAAACUAUGGAUUAUCUGUAUGUAUGAUGUAAAGACAACUGAAAAUGCCCUAACUGCACAGAAGUUCAUCAUUUAAAGAAAACAUUCCAUGACUUCACAGGUU
This is a long non-coding RNA of Limulus polyphemus (Atlantic horseshoe crab), 387 nucleotides long. RefSeq lists it as uncharacterized. NCBI's taxonomy places the organism in Eukaryota, Metazoa, Arthropoda, Merostomata, Xiphosura, Limulidae. The transcript is spliced from 3 exons. The record is from RefSeq and is a predicted model, not a curated record.